GAUGAACGCUGGCGGCGUGCCUAAUACAUGCAAGUCGAGCGAACAGACGAGGAGCUUGCUCCUCUGCCGUUAGUGGCUGACGGGUGAGUAACACGUGGAUAACCUACCUAUAAGACUGGGAUAACUUCGGGAAACCGGAGCUAAUACCAGAGAAUAUAUUGAACCGCAUGGUUCAAUAGUGAAAGACGGUUUUGCUGUCACUUUUAGAUGAAUCCGCGCCGGAUUAGCUAGUUGGUAAGGUAACGGCUUACCAAGGCAACGAUGCGUAGCCGACCUGAGAGGAUGAUCAGCCACACUGGAACUGAGACACGGUCCAGACUCCUACGGGAGGCAGCAGUGGGGAAUCUUCCGCAAUGGGCGAAAGCCUGACGCAGCAACGCCGCGUGAGUGAUGAAGGUCUUCGGAUCGUAAAGCUCUGUUAUUAGGGAAGAACAAAUGUGUAAGUAACUAUGCAUGUCUUGACGGUACCUAAUCAGAAAGCCACGGCUAACUACGUG
This 497-nucleotide ribosomal RNA is filed under the name uncultured bacterium. Its description in RNAcentral is "partial 16S ribosomal RNA". It matches the Rfam family "Bacterial small subunit ribosomal RNA", at positions 28 to 507 of the family's 1533-position model. The record is from RNAcentral.